UUCCAAAAAAAUUAUAAUCUCCUGAUUUUCCUCUAUAUAUAUAGCCCUUUAUCUUCUCACUUCUCUUUGUGACCUCUAAUGAAUAAUACACCAAGACACCAAAGAUCAAGAACAAAGAAGAAGGAUGGUCAUCCUCAACGUCGCGUCCUCAUCGCGCACCACUAUCAGUUGAAGCUGCCAGCGUGAUCUCAACUUCCCUGGUCUCGUAAAGGAAAGAUCAGAUCAUGUGGCAGCUUCACCUGUUGCUGGGAGCUCGAGAAAACCCUAAUUCCAGAUUUUAGUCUCCGGCCAUGCUGGCGUUCUUCCAAAGGGAAACAACCAGCAAGUACUGAAGAGGCACUACAUUGAAGUUGCUGAAAGAAGAUGCAAGAAGUGGGAUGUGAAAGAGAUGGAUCAUGCACACUCGUGCACGGGUGCGGGUCUUGAGGGGGAACACAAGCCGACCGCUCAUCUGUAUUAGCUUCUUUAUCAUUAGUUGGAAAAGACGUUUCACGGAUUUAUUUACAGACGAUGUGACGGACUGAUAGAUCUUACCAUAAUGGAGGAUUAUGUUUAGAAAAAAUAUAAUUCGUGUUGUUAUAGUA
This is a long non-coding RNA of Syzygium oleosum, 584 nucleotides long. RefSeq lists it as uncharacterized. The transcript has 2 exons. NCBI's taxonomy places the organism in Eukaryota, Viridiplantae, Streptophyta, Magnoliopsida, Myrtales, Myrtaceae. The record is from RefSeq and is a predicted model, not a curated record.